ACUGGUUAAUAUAGGUAAAUAAAAUAUCCUAAUCAGUGUAUGACAAGUGGGUCCCUUUCCCUUUAAUUUAUCGGGUUAACCUUUAGCUAACGUUAAUAAUAAAUGUGCCUAUGACAUGCGGCCCGACUGGUCAGUUGACCAGUCAACUAUUGAUGUUAGUGUGACAUCGUGCUGAUGUCAUAAUUGCUUUGAAUCAAUUUAUUAAAUCUGUUUUUAAUUCCUAAAUAGUUAAUAAAACUUUAAAAAUUAAUAUAAAAUAAUCCGUAAGUCAGAUCAAAAUACUUUCAACAUGAUAGUUGAUCAGCAGUACGAGAUAAAUCCGGAUACACGGUCCAUUCGUGUGUCACACGUCCCUAGCAUAGCAAAUAUGGAACUUUUCCAUCAUUUUCCGUGUGACCGGUAGCAACCCGAGACCCGGAAAAUAUCGUCAGAUAUUCUUCCGACCCGUCUAUGACGGAUGUUGCUGCGUUAGCUCAUGUCUAGCCUGCAUCAUGCCAUGUCAUGCAUUGUGUUACACCGUUGCUAUUAUUUAUUGUUUGUUCCCCCUCUUCUCACCGGUAGACCCCGAGACUGACGCUGCUGCCGGGUACAUCUACGACCCUGCCGAUCAGUCCUUUGCCGCAGAGCAGCAAGUC
RNAcentral lists this long non-coding RNA (635 nucleotides) under Hordeum vulgare. RNAcentral describes it as "long non-coding RNA (HVUL_LNC010256)". Lineage: Eukaryota; Viridiplantae; Streptophyta; Magnoliopsida; Poales; Poaceae. The record is from RNAcentral.